Molecule: ribosomal RNA, 393 nt
Filed under: uncultured bacterium
Lineage: Bacteria
Description: bacterial SSU rRNA
Rfam family: Bacterial small subunit ribosomal RNA
Source: RNAcentral
GUGUCAGCAGCCGCGGUAAUACGAAGGGGGCUAGCGUUGUUCGGAAUUACUGGGCGUAAAGGGCGCGUAGGCGGUCUUGUAAGUCAGAUGUGAAAGCCCCGGGCUCAACCCGGGAAUAGCAUUUGAUACUGCGAGGCUUGAGUCCGGGAGAGGAUGGCGGAAUUCCCAGUGUAGAGGUGAAAUUCGUAGAUAUUGGGAAGAACACCGGUGGCGAAGGCGGCCAUCUGGACCGGUACUGACGCUGAGGCGCGAAAGCGUGGGGAGCAAACAGGAUUAGAUACCCUGGUAGUCCACGCCGUAAACGAUGAGUGCUAGACGCUGGGGGGUUAACCCUUCGGUGUCGCAGCUAACGCAUUAAGCACUCCGCCUGGGGAGUACGGCCGCAAGGUUGAA